Etheostoma cragini (Arkansas darter) is the source of this 109-nucleotide long non-coding RNA. RefSeq lists it as uncharacterized. The record is from RefSeq and is a predicted model, not a curated record. The transcript has 3 exons. NCBI's taxonomy places the organism in Eukaryota, Metazoa, Chordata, Actinopteri, Perciformes, Percidae.
AAGGACUGUUUUUGCAGAGUGUGUGCGGGGGGCCAUUAAGUCAGACUCAGUGGUGAUUGAAACUGAAGCAGAGGGACACACCCAGAGCUGUAGCAGAGCCAAAGUAGAA